UUCAAAGCACAAUGGUAUUUAGGAUGGGUCUGAUGACAAGAGGCCAGAGGAGGCAGCUAGAAAGCAUCAGGAAACAGAAAUGCCAAUGAAAUUACAAGAAUUUUAAGAAGGAGUUGCAGAAACUGGUCAAAUAUCAGGAGAACUUCACAGCCCUGAAGCCCUGCAGAGAAGCUGGAAGACUGGAUUAUUCCUGACUGGGAAAAGCAGAAUUUUGGCCAGGUGCGGUGGCUCAUACCUACAAUCCCAGC
Molecule: long non-coding RNA, 248 nt
Organism: Piliocolobus tephrosceles (Ugandan red Colobus)
Lineage: Eukaryota; Metazoa; Chordata; Mammalia; Primates; Cercopithecidae
Exons: 3
Source: RefSeq, a predicted model, not a curated record